This 73-nucleotide transfer RNA is filed under the name Bacteriophage sp. Its description in RNAcentral is "tRNA-Asn". It matches the Rfam family "tRNA". Rfam says of the family: Transfer RNA (tRNA) molecules are approximately 80 nucleotides in length. Their secondary structure includes four short double-helical elements and three loops (D, anti-codon, and T loops). The record is from RNAcentral. RNAcentral also lists the same sequence under 3 other names.
UCUCUUAUAGCUCAGCUGGUAGAGCAUCGCACUGUUAAUGCGAAAGUCGUAAGUUCGAGUCUUACUGGGAGAG